AACGAACGCUGGCGGCAUGCCUAACACAUGCAAGUCGAACGAGACCUUCGGGUCUAGUGGCGCACGGGUGCGUAACGCGUGGGAACCUGCCCUUAGGUUCGGAAUAACUCCCCGAAAGGGGUGCUAAUACCGGAUAAUGUCUUCGGACCAAAGAUUUAUCGCCUUUGGAUGGGCCCGCGUUGGAUUAGCUAGUUGGGAGGGUAAAAGCCUACCAAGGCGACGAUCCAUAGCUGGUCUGAGAGGAUGAUCAGCCACACUGGGACUGAGACACGGCCCAGACUCCUACGGGAGGCAGCAGUGGGGAAUAUAGGACAAUGGGCGAAAGCCUGAUCCAGCAAUGCCGCGUGAGUGAUGAUGGCCUUAGGGUUGUAAAGCUCUUUUACCCGGGAUGAUAAUGACAGUACCGGGAGAAUAAGCUCCGGCUAACUCCGUG
RNAcentral lists this ribosomal RNA (433 nucleotides) under uncultured bacterium. RNAcentral's name for it is "partial 16S ribosomal RNA". It matches the Rfam family "Bacterial small subunit ribosomal RNA", at positions 29 to 507 of the family's 1533-position model. The record is from RNAcentral.